GACGAACGCUGGCGGCGUGCUUAACACAUGCAAGUCGAACGGAAAGGCCCCCACUUUUUUGGUGGGGGUGCUCGAGUGGCGAACGGGUGAGUAACACGUGGGUGAUCUGCCCUGUACUUCGGGAUAAGCUUGGGAAACUGGGUCUAAUACCGGGUAGGACCAUGGUUUAGUGUCUCAUGGUGGAAAAAUUAUUGUUUUGGUGCAGGAUGAGCUCGCGGCCUAUCAGCUUGUUGGUGGGGUAAUGGCCUACCAAGGCGUCGACGGGUAGCCGGCCUGAGAGGGUGGACGGCCACAUUGGGACUGAGAUACGGCCCAGACUCCUACGGGAGGCAGCAGUGGGGAAUAUUGCACAAUGGGCGCAAGCCUGAUGCAGCGACGCCGCGUGGGGGAUGACGGCCUUCGGGUGGUAAACUCCUUUCGUUAGGGACGAAGCCGCACCUUUUUUGGGUGUGGUGACGGUACCUUUGUGAAGAAGCACCGGCUAACUACGUG
This 492-nucleotide ribosomal RNA is filed under the name uncultured bacterium. RNAcentral describes it as "partial 16S ribosomal RNA". It matches the Rfam family "Bacterial small subunit ribosomal RNA", at positions 28 to 507 of the family's 1533-position model. The record is from RNAcentral.